GGAAAACUGAGUAUCACCAAGUCUUUACCAUCACCUUUUUAUUGGCAACCAUUUCAGGUGCUGUUCGAGUCCAUCAAGGCCUCUUCAUGGACGACCUGUUGCAUUCACAGUCAGCUCCAAUAAUAAUCUCCAUCUCUCUCGCAGUCCAACAACAAUAUAGUCAACAACACGCCACGUCCAUCGGGAUCAGGUGCUUCGUCACUAUCGCCAUUGUUACACAGAUUGCUGCACGCCGUUAAGAUCCGGGGCACCACCGGCAUCCGUACGACAGCAACCCUGCCGGGAUAUAUACGCUCUCCAAAGGGCGCGACGUGUUCGUUGAAGAACGCCGCUGCCAAGCAAGCCGGCAGCCGGACUGACCUGAGGCUAAUACAACUCCCAAACUCUACUAGCAUUGUUUCAGCUGCUACUUCACGCACCUGAUUUCUGCCAACUUCUGAGAUUUAUUCCACUUUCCGCAGUUACAACUCACAACCAUAAGAUAAGAUCCAUACAUGAAAUUUAUUCCACUUGAUCCGUGCCAUGCAUUCAUACAUGUGUGCGUACAGCGCAACAAUGCGGCAUCUGAGCAUCAUGCAUGUGCUACUACGUACAGCGGCUUUUAAUUACUCAACCACAUGAGUGCUGGCUGGGAGCGUCUCGUUCUUUCCAUGGAAGUUGAUGCGGUUGUCGCGGCAGUCGACGAACUGGUAGUUGACGAUGAGGUGGCCCCUCUGGUACCCCAUGCCGUCGGUGUCGAUCUUGACGAACACGGUGUCCCAGUCGAGGUCCAGCCCGCCGUUGGCGCACUGGUCCACGAUCCUCGCCGUGAUCUGCGCCCCCGUGCCCGUGUUGGUCACCCGGAUGCACCGCCCGCACGACGCCUGGCCGCGGGGGCCAGCGGGGCCGCAGAACGCCGUCCAGCCGUACUUGGACCGCCACGAGAACGGCUUGCCGGCGUCCCAGGUGGAGCAGUAGGCGCUCACGGCGGGGGCGCCCAGGUCCCAGCCGUUUUGAGCUGGGCGGUAGUAGUGGUAGGUCGCCCGGACGUUGCUCGCCUGCUGCGCCGCGGCAGCCGCGGCACCGGCGCACAGGAGCGCAACAUAGAAAUUGAAAGGAUCGAUAUAGUUGACUAGAGGGGGGUGAAUAGGCAACUAACAAUUUUUAAGCUUUUCUUUACCGAUUUAAACUUUGCAACAAAAUAGGUUGUCUAGAUAUGCAACUAUGUGAGCAACCUAUAUGAUGCAAUAACAACUAGCACAUGAGCAAGCAAGGGAUACAACACAAGUAAGGUUGCAAAAGUAAAGGCACGAAAUAACCAAGAGUGGAGCCGGUGGAGACGAGGAUGUGUUACCGAAGUUCCUUCCUUUUAAAGGGAAGUACGUCUCCGUUAGAGCGGUGUGGAGGCACAAUGCUCCCCAAGAAGCCACUAGGGCCACCGUAUUCUCCUCACGCCCUCACACAAUGCGAGAUGCCGUGAUUCCACUAUUGGUGCCCUUGAAGGCGGCGACCGGACCUUUACAAACAAGGUUGGGGUAAUCUCCACAACUUAAUUGGAGGCUCCCAACGACACCACGAAGCUUCACCACAAUGGACUAUGGCUUCGAGGUGACCUCAACCGUCUAGGGUGCUCAAACACCCAAGAGUAACAAGAUCCGCUAGGGAUUAGUGGGGGGAAUCGAAUAUCUCUUGGUGGAAGUAUAGAUCGGGGCCUUGUCACCCAAUCCCGAGCAAAUCAACAAGUUUGAUUGGCUAGGGAGAGAGAUCGGCCGAAAAUGGAGCUUGGAGCAACAAUGGAGCUUAGGGAUGGAAGAGGUGGUCAACUAGAGGUAGGAGACACACCUUUUAUAGUGGAGGACAACAUCCAACCGUUAUCCACUUAGACCAGCCUGCGACCUGCGAUACUACUGCUCCAGGAGCGCAGUACUACCGCAAGGCCAUGCGGUACUACCGUGAGGGACCACGGUACUACCGCGGCAGCUGCAGAGACUAGAACAUGCCCGACAGAGAGAAGUACUAUCGCGAGCGCGGUACUACCGCUCCCACCUGUGGUACUACCGCGAGGCAGGUAAGUCCUAGCCAGGAAGGGGCACGGAUGAAUAAAAAUACAUCUGUGCCUACUUCCGCUGACAAAGAGACGAUGCAAACAUCCGUCAUGGUUCUACCGUGCACAAAGAGCGGUACUACCGUGGGGGUGCGGAUGUAAAAAAUUACAUCCGCCCCUACUAUCGUGAAGUAGCGGCACUAGGCCUGGGAACCACGGUACUACGGCUCUAGGGAAGCGGUACUACCUUGCGCUCCUGCGGUACUACCGCGCUCGACGUGCGGUACUACCGUGCAGGCGCGGAUGUAAAAAAUUACAUCCGCCCCUACUACCGCGAAUCAGCGGUACUUGGACAGAGAGCCACGGUACUACGACUCCAGAUAAGCGGUACUACCGUGGGCUCCCGCGGUACUACCGCGCAUGCGCACGGUAGUACCGCAAGUGCCUGUGGUACUACCGCUCCAGGGAGCAGUACUAACGCAAGCUCAGCAAUAGCAGUCCAGACAAUCGCAAAGAGGAUAAACGGGGAGAACUCCAAAGAGCAAGGGAAAGGUGGAGACAAGGAAGGAAACGUGUACCUGAAGAUUCCACCCGAACCUUUCCGACGCGGACCCCCUCUUAAUAGUACGGCUCUCCUACGACUCAAAUCCACCAAAAAGAAACGUAGAAAAAUGCCGUCUUCAAUAGUCUUCGAGGGGCACCGAACCGUCUUGUGCCUAGCGAUGAAGCAACUGAGAAACUCAAGGCACACGAUUAGUCCGCAAAAGCAUUGUCAUCAAUCACCAAAACACUUAGGGAUAAAUAUGUCCUUACAGAAGUGCAAUAUAUCAGUGUGAUUUUUUUACCCAAAUCUUUAUUUGUUUGUGAGAGAUACAAAAAAAAGAGUAAAAUACAUGCAAAAAUCAGCUUAUUAUUUUGGCCUGAUUAUUUUCCUAUUUGCAGGGUAUAAUAUAACAAAAUUUCAAACAAAACCUGAAAAUCACUUAGAGCACAUGCAUAUGUUUUUGUUUGAAAUUUUUAAAAUUUGUAUGAAACUUUUAAUUGCCAGUUUUUAAACUUUCAAGAAAAAAUGCGCUCCAUCACGCUCCCAAAUUCCACUUUGGUUGCUAUGUACCUCUCAAAGGUGCCCAGUUGCUAUAUAUAUGGUGCUCCUAUGGGUCUGCACAAUUACUUUUCAAGUUCUUUAUUUUUAUUUUUCAUAUUAUUUUUACCAUUUCACAAAAGAAAUGUAAGAACAAAAUACAACUGCCAUAAACUUUAAGAAAGUGUUAGUGCAUUUGAAAAAUGUUCAACAUGUUUUUGGAAAAUGUUUCACAUGUUUUAAAAAAUUACAACGCAUUUUUGAAAAAUGUUUGUCGUGCGUUAAAAAAGUUUACUACGUGUAGUUUUAAAAGAGUUCAACGCUGUGUGAAAAGUUAUUGUGUAAAUUAUCCUUACACUUAUACAAACAUGGUUGACAUUUUUUAUUCUUAAAUUUAGACAAUAAUUUCUAAUAUAGGUUGAAAUAUUUAAAUCCACAUAAAUAAAGUUCAUGUCUACCUAUUCAAAGUACACAAGAAUGAAAAUGGAAAAAAUAUGUAAAAUAUAAAAUAAUAGCAUAUUGAUAGUUGUAUUUUCAUAUGGAAAAAAUUAUGUGUUAUGAAACUAAACAGGAACUUGGAAAAAAAAGAAGAAACUUGCAUAGCUUUCUAGGUAGGAGUUCAAUUCGAAGCAUGGUCCGGCCGUUUGGCCAGAUCGUGCCAUUGUUAAACAUGAUGUGCUAGGUUCGAUACCCCUCCAUGGAGUUUUUUUCCAUGUUAUUUCUCGCUAUCACACAGUGUAUUUGAUGACUUUUCUAUUGAUUAAAUAAAAUAUGAGUUUUUCUUUGUAAAAACAUCCUCACGCGUGGGCCACCCAGCGCCUCUUAGCCACUGUCAGGUGAGCCACGUCACAUUUGUACGCCACACGAGCUGGACGUACAUACGGAUACGAAUGUAGGCACCGUAUUUACACGGCCGAACAGGUUGGAGUAUCAGUUUCACGUAUUUUGUAACUUUAGGCACUAAACUGACCGAAAAGAACAAGUUGAAGCACCUCUAGUGUAUUUAACUCAAAUUGUUACAAGUGUGGAUGGAUACCUAUGUAAUCAUGUCAGCGUGUCACUUUCUACAAAUUUGUGUGGCUGCAAUUGCAAACACGUGGUCGAAAGCUAGAGGGAAGAUAUAUCUUUGCGCAUAAUUGAAGUUUUAGAUAAGAUAGCUCGAUUUAUUUUUAUGAGAUAAGAGUUCUCACCAUUUCAUUGAGAUACCGACAACACCAACUGCCUAGAACAAGUCCAAAGAAAAAAAGCGAAAACAAAACCUUACCUCACAUCUUCAUAAUUUCACUCGACAUAUAUCACAACAAUUAGAUUACGAUUAAUUAUAUAGUAUAUAGAUGCUUCCGCUGCAAUUUUUUGUAUACCCACACUUCGCAUCAGAAAAUCCGUCGGGCACACAUGCAUGCGGCCACCCAUGUGCUUUAAGAUUGGUGCACUAGGUAGUUUAUGUCAUUAGCCCUCAAUCGCUGCACUGGAGUCCAUGCAUGUCAGCUUUUGGCAGAGCUGCAUGCGCCACCUACCCUAUUUCUCAUGUGUUUUCAUUUUAUCUCAAAUUUUAAUCUAUUGUAUCUUCUGAACCAAAAGUUUAAAUUAAGUUAUGUUUGUAUACUUGUGUUCGUUGCAACAAGUCCUUUUGAACAAGACUAAUUUUGAAUACAUUUAAACAUCUUUUUAAAAAUUUACCAAGUUUCAAAUAGUAAAACAUGAGAAUCAUCAUAAGUUUUGACAAGUUACAUUUGUUAGGGGCAUAAGGUUUAGGACUUCGGAACAAGUAUAAGAAUAUAAAGCGACAGGUCCCCGCAUCGCUCCGCACGAGCGACACGGGCCGCGACCCAUGCCACCGCCGACAGCCCUUUCUCCGUCGUUUACCUCCCUCGCCGCCGCCCGGAUGCGCCGCCGGGCAAAGCCCGUGUGACAGCGGCGGCGGCGGGGCUUCUUCUUCACGGGGCGGGCGGCUUGUGGCUGGCUCGUGCGGCGCCGGCGCAUGGUCGUCGCGAGCUCGGCGUCGGCGGGCUGAAGCCCCUCUCCUCCGGCGGGGGCGGCGGAUCUGGGGCCCUCGCGCCCGGAUCUGAUGGUGUGUGGGCGGGGCCGGCCUGCAGCGGCGGCCCUGGCGCCGUGGGAUGGCGCCCGUGUUGCGGCCGAUCUGGUCCGGCGCGGGCGUGGCCUGGUGGUGCUCUGGCUGGGAAGGUGCGGUCAGACGGGAGAUGAAGCUUGAGGUGCGGGUGCGGCCGGGUAGCGGUGCGUCCGUGCGGGGAGGUGCGGCACGAGGUUCCCGGUGGCUUGGUUCUGUCGUCGUGAGGAUGUGCAGCGGUGUGGUCGGCGGCUGCUGCUCGGGCAGUGCGGCAGCCCGGGUGGAGGCAACUUAGUGUUGAUGUGCUGGGCGCGCGGGGCGGCGCGGAUCUGUUGCUCGGAGGUCGCGAAGGGUGAGGGUGGUCAGAUCCGGCCGGAUUUGACAUUGGUGGCUCGAUGGAGGGCUUGCUGAUGCAUGAUAUGCGGAGCUCGAGAGAUUGACCCGGGCGAAAGCUUGUCUCCGGCGUGUCCGGAACCGGCAAUGGCGACGCGUUCAGGCGUCGUUUCCUUCUUGUUGGCAUCGUCGAGGUACUCUCAGCUCCAAUUUUCGCAGCUUCGGGGGAAACCUUAGAUCCAUGGGAUCGGACGAUGACGGUGCUCUAGCAUCGUAUCCCCUCUCGAGGGCUUUGUCUUUGGAGCUAGGCAUCAUCAAGUGGGACCGAUGGAAGUUGGUGACCUGUGGCAACGAUGAUGGGUGUGUGCGAUGUCGGAGACGCGACAAUGGUUGUGAUAAUCGGCUCUUCUUUGGCGUGUUCGCGGGCAGAUUACCUCGGGUUGUUUUGUUGCGGUGAAGUCGGAGCUGUGGCGGCGGGGGCCCUGUGGCGACGAUGACAGGCAACAGAUGGUCUGUUCGGUGGUCUUCCGCGGCGCCAACCUUGCCUAGUUCUCCUUCGGAGCUAUCUUUCAGAGUCGAAGUUGUGCUGUCCUUGGCGUGGGUGGCUGAGUUUGGCGCGGGGCUUCUUAUGUUUCACAUAGCCUCUACGAUGUGGGUUGGGUCUACAUUUGUCUUCGGAGAAGUCGGAGUCGCUUGCUCGGAGAUUAGGGAGGGUGAUGACGCCUGUUGGGGAGAAGUGAUGACGAUGACACCGGUGUGUGAUGUUGACGAGACUCUAUGUGAGGUGGGUGUGUGAUUAUGAGUGUGCCGCUCAGCGGUUUGUGAUGGUUUUCGCCCGGUUUUCCGUAUAUUAACCGGGCAACUCUCUUCUUCUUUAUUAAUGAGAUGAGGCAAAGCUUUUGCCUCCGUUUCGGAAAAAAAAUGGUUUAGGAUUUCCGGCUUAGGGCUUAGGAUCUAGGGCUAAGGGCUUAGGGUUUCAGUUUUAGUCUUUGAAACUUGCUAAAUUUUUCAUUCAUUCUAUCAAGUUUUAGUAGUUGAAACUCACUUAAGUUUUUAGAAUUUGUCAAAACGUAUUCAAAAGUGGGCUUGUUUCAAAGCUCUCGACACAAGGGACAAGAAUAUGCAAACGAAAUAUAAAUUGAACUUUUGAUUCAAGAGAUAUAAUAGAUCCAAAUUUACAUGUAAAUAUGAAAAGGCGAACCAACCUGUGGUUGGAUGAUUAGAGGGACUGUGGUAUCCCCAGCCCACCAGGGUUCAAAUCCUGGUGCUCGCAUUUAUUUCUGGAUUUAUUUCAGGAUUUUCAGCGAUGCGCAUUCAGUGGGAGGAGACGUUCCCUUCGACGACGAGGCGCCUACGGUAACUUCGUAAAUCUUAAGAUGAUAUGCCGGCUAAGUCUUUCGGAGGUGCUCAUAGGGAUAGGGUGUGCGUGUGUGCGUUCAUAGGGAUGAGUGUAUGCGUGUGUAUAUGACGCUUGUGUUUGUACUGGUGUUCAAAAAAAUGUAAAAAUGAAAAGCAUAGGAGGUGGGAUGGCAUGUGGUCUAUGCCAAAAGUUGUACCAAAAAGUUGCGUGCAUGCAGUAAUUAAGCUCAAACCAUAAACCACUCUUCGGAUCUUGGUGCAAUCAUGCAGCUGCAUGCAUGCGUCUCCCGCCCCUGGGUGCCACAAAUCGUCUUCAACUUUAUAUUGUAAGAUAUGAAACCUUAGAGCAUCUCCAACCGCGCCCCAGAACAGUCUUCCCAGGCGUUUGGCCGGCGCUGAAAAAACGGCCCAUUCCCACCCCCCGGAGCCCGAUUUUCACCGACGGACCCAGACCGAACCCAGCGCGCUAGGGGGCUCUCAGGGGCGCCGAGGCGAGUAGUUUUCGCGCGAAGCAACCGCGGACCCGCCUAGUCAACGAGACGGGCGCUUCAUCGCCCUCAUCGCCUCGAUUUCCGCGGAAUCAAUGCCAAGGCUGCCGCGCUGCCGCCGACGGUCAGCCUUGCCAUUGAUUCCUCACGGGCGGCGCGUCACGGGGCGGCGCAGCGUCGCCUCCCCUCCCGCCACGUGUACAUACGGGCGCGGCUAUAUAAGCCGGCGCCCUCCCUCGCCUCCGCCUACACCAGCCCUCGCCGCCGAGCCCUCUCCCUCUCCCUCUGUCGUGCACCGCCGCCGCCGAGCCCUCCCUCUCCCUCUCCCGUGCGCCUCCUCCGAGCCCUCCCUCCCCCAAUGGCCGAACACUUCCCCGGCGACGAGGCGGUGGCCAACGGCAUCGGCCGCCGCUCGCUCCGCGAACAGGAGUCGUGGCUCCUGUUCGAGGCCAACAUCCCAGCGCCGCCGGACAUGCGCGUCGGGCCGUCGGGGUGGCGUCUCAGCAACGGGGGAGUGCCCGUUCCGCCGUUGCCCGACCCCGCGGUGCGGACCGCCUACUUUGCCGACGAGGUCGAGCUCGCACGCGCCUCCCUCAUCGAUGAGUAGCGCACCCUCCCCCAGUACGCCGCCGACAACCACUCGACAUGGGCGGCGUACUUCGAGCGCCGCCAGGAGCAGAGGCUGGCGUCCACCAACGGGGCGCCGGUGGUGGGCGCCAGGCAGAACAGUGAGGGCCGCCGCGUUUGGUGGGGCGUCCCCGGCCACACGCUCGGCGGCGUGUUGGCGCACCUUGAGGGCGCCAACGAGCCGCCACUGACAUACCCUCCCCCGGCGGCCCCGGCCCCGGCCCGCCGCCGACGCGCCGGGCAAUGGCUGCCCAGGAGGUUCGUCUCUUCGUCGUCUUCCUCCUCCUCGUUGCGAUCUUCUUCGCACUCCUCCGGCUCUUCGGCGCUGCUCGACGUCAAGACCGAGCACGUGACAUUGACGCCGCUCGGCCGGCGCACUCACAGCGCCGACAUCGUCAUCAACGAAGGCGGCCGGUGCGCCCCCUCGUCGGCUCCUCCGCGGUUCGUCAAGCCGAAGACGGAGCCCGGGCUCGCGACGGUGAAAACGGAGCCGGGGCUCCCCGCCGUGAAGACGGAGCCCGGCGAGGUGGCGCUAGACGAUGAUGCGGCCCUGAAAUGGGCGCGCAAGGACUUCCUCGGGGUGGAGAGGGAGCGCCAGGUCGCCGCACUGCGGCGCUUCGAGCAGCGUCGCCGGGGCCGCGGAGAAGAAGGAGUCGUCUAACUCGAUGACAACGAUGACGACGCGCCGCCGGCACCUGUCCGCCAUGGCAGCGCCGGGCAGGGGUGCAGCCGGGAUGGCCGCGUCAAGGAGGAUAAGGCCAACGAUGACAACGGUGGCGAGGACGGCGGCGACGACGGCGACUACUCCGCGUUUAGCGAUUUUCUUUUUUAGUUAUAUUUGUUAUGUAAACGCGUCGAACAUGUAAUAUAUGCCAAAAUUUACCGAAAUUUAGCCGUGUUUAACCGAACUUCGCUGAACUUUGCUUUUUUGAAAAAAUUAGACGCGCCUCGGGACGGUCCUGGGGCCGGCGACUGGGGGCCAACUCGUCCCAGGCCGUUUUUUUGCGCUGACUCGCCCCGAGGCAGCGAUUUUAGGCGCCCCUGGGGCCAACAGCUCUUAGCCCGACCCAUCUCCCUUGUGGCCACUUAAGCGACACAGACAGACCCUUGAUCGAGUUGCCAGGCCACUCUGUUGCCCCCCUUCUCACCUCACUGUCAUUGGAGGAAGCCAUUGGGCUAUGCCUAUGCGGUGGAUGGAGGCAGUAGGUGCCGCGAAGAACAAUGGCUUAAGUCCGCGAAGAACAACAGGCGCUACCAGCAGCACUUGGGUACACGUUCAUCAUCAGUCAUCACGGUGAAACAAUGUACAGAUGGCCAGGGGGCGAAGCUAGCAAUCUGGCGUGAUUUGGCGAAUGCCAUAUCUAAGCUGCCGUGAAAAUACGUAUAUAUACGACUAGUAUUAGCCCAUCAACACAAUUUUCAGGAUUUGGGAGUGUGCCUUGUGUUGGGCUUGCUUGAUGCCUAUUGAGUGGUGGGCCGUGACCAUGGGCUGACUCGUUCACGUAGCACUAGCACCGCAGCACGGCUGCUCGGCCUCGGCUGCUUGGCUGCCUAGGACUCGUUCGCAAGGGACGGAGAGGCGGCAACACUUAGCUAGGGCACCGCCGCACAGGCGCACGGCAGUCGGCAGUCAGUAGGCAGUGGGCGCACAGGACGGGACCUGCGACCGGCGAGGCGGCAACCGGCGACAAGGACACCGAGAGGCCUUGAUCGGCGAAGACUGCAACUCGCCGAGUCCGCUAGGGUUUGCAGAUGACGCCACCCAAGAAAAGGAUUAUGUAUGUAAUGAAAGAUGUAAUUUUAUUGUCCUUCUUCCCCUUGGUCGCAUUAGAUAAAUUGUCAUAUUACUUGCUCGAAUCACAUGAAGGAAUAUUAUUCAAUUGUUCACUAACCAAUUAAUGUUUCUUGUGGUUUCUACAGAUUUAAAGUGUAUUUUUGCCGAAGCCAGUAGAAGAAUGUCACUGCCACUGUCUACUUAAUGAAAGUAAACCUUCAUUGGGUACGUAUUCUUUCUAACUAUCUUCACUUGCAUAAUGUGGUUUCUAUCAUUAUAUCCUACCAGUUAUUAAUUCAUGAUUUAUCUAUGGUUUUUAUGUUUUAUAGGUCAUUUUUAUGCCAGUCUAGUUAAUAUAGAUGAUACAUUGGCAAUCAAUCAUCCAUAUAAUCUUCAUCAAAUGAGGUAUGUACAGUGCCCACACUUAAAUUUUGGAUUUUGGUUGUAUUUGUUGAACACCAAGUAAUAUUUAUCUAAUAUUUUAGUGAGCUCUUUCAUAGUCGAGUUGUACAUGAUUUUUUUUCAUUCAUAAACUUCGCCGCACCUGGAAAUUAUUCCAGCCUCCGCCACUGCAGAUGGCCCAGUCAACAACACGUCACGUUCAUCAGGUGCCUCGUCACUAUCGCCAUUGUUACCCGGAUUGCUGCACGCCGUUAAGAUCCGGGGCACCACCGGCAUCCAUACGACAACAACCCGGCCGGGAUAUAUACGCUCUCCAAAGGGCGCGACGUCUUUGUUGAAGAACGCCGCUGCUAAGCAAGCCGGCUAAGAGCAACUCCAACGGGACGGCCCAAACAUACACGCGCUUUGUCCGCUUUUUGUCCGUUUGGAUCGGCCAGGCGGACAUGCGCAUCGCAUUUUAAAAUGGGUCGGCUUGACUGUUCAAGGGGAAGGCCUACCCAAAUGUGCCGCCGUGGAAAAAAACAAGUUGCACAAAAGAAACAUAAAUAAACAUAAUUAAACAUAAAGUGGCCGGUCAAACGCCGGCCAAAGUCCACCUAAACCUAAUAAACAUUAAAUAAAACAUUAAAAAAGUCUGCGCCUGCCUGCUGUCGCCCGGCACGCUGCCCUAGACGUCGUCGGCCUUGCUCUUGCCCUUGCCGGCGUACGCGCCAUCGUCGGUGAGGUCGAUGAAGACCGGAGCAGGGCCAACCCACCCGAACGCCGCCUGGUAUGCUGCCAGUAGGGAUGGCAAUGGGGACAAUCCCCUAUGGGGAUACCUACAACAUCCCCGUCCCCAUCUAUUCCCUAUUAUCCCAUCCCCAUCCCCGUUUACAUGAAUAGGGAUGAAAUUUCCCCAUACACAUGCCCCACUGGGAACGGGGCCCCAUUAGGGUCCCCAUCCCCAUAAACAAAUACUCAUAUACAUAAUAUGGCACCCUAUGAUCAACAUACAUGCAUGGUGUUGUCCUUGUCCUGCUAAUGCCUAUCUAGGUCAUAUUGACUUCUUGGUCGUGGUGACAGCUGAGGUGAGGAUGUGAGAUAGGUUUAAGGUUUUUUCAGAGCUUUUUUUGUUUUCGCAAGUUUGUUUGUGAAUAUUUUAACAUUGACCGCAGUGUCACAGUUACUAACCGGGCCCCUGAUGGGUAUUGGGUCUAGGGAAUAGGAUAUCGUCUCCAUCCCCGUUGUACCCUAUGGGGAAUAAAUUAGUUUGGUAAAUAUCCCUAUGGGGAUGUUUUUCGUCCAUCCUCACCCCCUAAUAGAUGAAAUCCCCACGGGUUUGGAGGGUAUGGGGCCCCGUUGCCAUCCCUAGCUGCCAUGGCAGCCUCCUCCGGUGUCUGUUGGGGCGGCGGCAUUGUGGCAAGCCGUGCGCGCUCCUCCUCCUCCUCCUAGAGCCGGAGUGCCUCUGCGUCGCGUUGGAGCAUGGCCUCAUAGCGCAUCUGCUCCUCGCCGUCGGCCUGCUCCUGGCCGAGCCAGUGCUCCUUCCAUCGCUCGAGAUGGGCCGCCUCCUCCUCCGGCGUCGCGGCAAAGUGGACGGGGGGCGCGCUCACCCACUCGUGGUAUUGGCCCGUCCACGAGUAGGCCUCCUUCGGCCAAGUGGGUGGAGGCGGGGAGCGCUUACGUGAUGGCUCCGGCUCCGGCUCCGGCUUGGGCUGGACGGGCGGCGACGGUGGAGGUGGUGGCACGAAGAGCAGGGUUUGGAUGGAGUCCUCCGCCGGCGACAGGGCAAGGGCUUGCUCCAUCCCAUCCCAGUGCGUGUCCUCGUCGAUGCGGCUAGCCUCCAGCGCAUGCUGCAGGGCCUCCUCGAGGACGGCUUGGUACUCCGCCUCUGCCUCCAUGUCCUCCGGCUCUACCUCCGGGGGCGGCGGUGGGAACGGCGGCGGGACGGCGUCGACACCCGAGCGCCGUUGCUCCUCGUGUUCGAGGGCGAACCAAGCCUCCCAGUUGGGAGAGUCGGCGGCGUACUCGGGCAGCCGACGCUGCUCCGGCGUGAGCUGCGCGCGGCGCCGGCGCACCUCGUCGUCGUGCGCCCGCUGGGUCCGCGGAACCACCGGCACCGGGAUCCCCUGGGGAUCCAAAUGCCAAUGGUGCGGCAGCGUCACGUCGGGGUAGGGGAGGGGCUGCCUGUACUCCUAGUGCCACCGCGCUUGGUGCACCAGGAUGUGCAGGCACCGGCGUUCAGGGCGGAAACGCGCCGGCGGUGGAGGGGGAGGGGUAGCACGGGACGACGAGGCGCCGGGGGUGCCCUUGCCCUUGCCCUUGCCAUUGCUACAGCCGAAGAGACCCAUGGGCGCGCUAGGGUUUGCGGUCACCGGCGAGGAAGCAAAGGGAGUGGUGGGAGGCCAGAUGUGGACGGGAGAAGUGGAAGAGGCCGACCUCACCGCACGCGUGGUUAAAAAAGGAUACGCGCACUGGCUGACGCGUGGGCCCGCUGUUGAUGGUCGUCAUAAAUAAGACGAUCGGUGGCGGUUGGGUGGCCGCCAAGUGGGGACGCGGCGGACGGCGAGGAGACGCGCGGCGCGUCCGCGCCGACGCAUUCCAGGCGCAAUUUUGGGCCGGAAAUGGGUUGGCGCCGAUGCCAGGCGGACACGAUUUGAGUUUGGGGCGGCGCGUUGGGCCGCCACUUUUGUCCGCGCUGACCCAAAUAGACGCGGGCGGACGAAAUGGGUCGCCCCAUUGGAGUUGCUCUAAGGCCUUGUACAAUCCUAGGUUCCUAGGGAGAUGCUUAGAAAAAUAAAGCGGAUUAUUCUGAAGCAUCGGUGCCUAUUUUUACAGGUGAGGUGUCUAAUUAAGCACCUACGCUGUACGAUUAAGCACCGAUUCUUAAGAAAAGCAUGAUUUAUAUCUUUAUAAGCACCUCUUCUAAGCACCUUGCAGUGUACAUGGCCUAAUACAACUCCCAAAUUCUACUAGCAUUGUUUCAGCUGCUACUUCAGGCACCUGAUUCCUGCCAACUUCUGAGAUUUAAUCCACUUUCCGCUGUUAAAACUUACAACCAUAAGAUCCAUACAUGAAAUUUAUUCCACUUCCCGUUUGAUUUAUUCCACUUGAUCCGUGCCAUGCAUAUGCAUACAUGUGUUCGUACAGCGCAACAAUGCGGCAUCUGGGCAUCAUGCAUGUGCUACUACGUACAGUAGCUUUUAAUUACUCAACCGCAUGAGUGCUGGCUGGUAGCGUCUCGUUCUUUCCAUGGAAGUUGAUGUGGUUGUCGCCGCAGUCUACGAACUCGUAGUUGACGAUGAGGUGGCCCCUCUGGUACCCCAUGCCGUCGGUGUCGAUCUUGACGAACACCGUGUCCCAGUCGAGGUCCAGCCCGCCGUUGGCGCACUGGUCCACGAUCCUCACCGUGAUCUGCGCCCCCGUGCCCGUGUUGGUCACCCGGAUACACCGCCCGCACGACGCCUGGCCGCGGGGGCCAGCGGGGCCGCAGAACGCCGUCCAGCCGUACUUGGACCGCCACGAGAACGGCUUGCCGGCGUCCCAGGUGGAGCAGUAGGCGCUCACGGCGCCCAGGUCCCAGCCGUUCUGAGCCGGGCUGUAGUGGUGGUAGGUCGCCCGGACGUUGCUCGCCUGCUGCGCCGCGGCGGCCGCGGCACCGGCGCACAGGAGCGCCACCACCAGCGCGAGGCGUGCGGCCAU
RNAcentral lists this long non-coding RNA (13833 nucleotides) under Triticum aestivum (bread wheat). RNAcentral describes it as "long non-coding RNA (TAES_LNC023317)". Lineage: Eukaryota; Viridiplantae; Streptophyta; Magnoliopsida; Poales; Poaceae. The record is from RNAcentral.